Molecule: ribosomal RNA, 253 nt
Filed under: uncultured bacterium
Lineage: Bacteria
Description: partial 16S ribosomal RNA
Rfam family: Bacterial small subunit ribosomal RNA
Source: RNAcentral
UACAGAGGUCUCAAGCGUUGUUCGGAUUCAUUGGGCGUAAAGGGUGCGUAGGCGGCGCGGUAAGUCGGGUGUGAAAUUUCGAGGCUUAACUUCGAAACUGCAUUCGAUACUGCCGUGCUAGAGGACUGGAGAGGAGACUGGAAUUUACGGUGCAGCGGUGAAAUGCGUAGAUAUCGUAAGGAAGACCAGUGGCGAAGGCGGGUCUCUGGACAGUAACUGACGCUGAGGAGCGAAAGCGUGGGGAGCGAACAGG